ACGGAAGGCAGCAGUGGGGAAUAUUGCACAAUGGGGGAAACCCUGAUGCAGCAACGCCGCGUGAAGGAUGAAGGCCCUUGGGUCGUAAACUUCUGUUCUAAGGGAAGAUGAUGACGGUACCUUAGGAGCAAGUCCCGGCUAACUACGUGCCAGCAGCCGCGGUAAUACGUAGGGGGCAAGCGUUAUCCGGAAUUAUUGGGCGUAAAGAGUACGUAGGCGGUUUCCUAAGCAUGGGGUUUAAGGCAAUGGCUUAACCAUUGUUCGCCCCAUGAACUGGGUUAGUUGAGUGCUGGAGAGGAAAGCGGAAUUCCUAGUGUAGCGGUGAAAUGCGUAGAUAUUAGGAGGAACACCAGUGGCGAAGGCGGCUUUCUGGACAGUAACUGACGUUGAGGCUCGAAAGCGUGGGGAGCAAACAGGAUUAGAUACCCUGGUA
RNAcentral lists this ribosomal RNA (433 nucleotides) under uncultured Anaerovorax sp. RNAcentral describes it as "partial 16S ribosomal RNA". It matches the Rfam family "Bacterial small subunit ribosomal RNA", at positions 341 to 792 of the family's 1533-position model. The record is from RNAcentral. Lineage: Bacteria; Bacillati; Bacillota; Clostridia; Peptostreptococcales; Anaerovoracaceae.